This is a long non-coding RNA of Acinonyx jubatus (cheetah), 547 nucleotides long. RefSeq lists it as uncharacterized. The transcript is spliced from 3 exons. The record is from RefSeq and is a predicted model, not a curated record. NCBI's taxonomy places the organism in Eukaryota, Metazoa, Chordata, Mammalia, Carnivora, Felidae.
ACAAAUUUUGGAAGGUCUAAGGUGUCUCUCUACUGAAUAUCAAGGGGCCACUCUGGUUUCUAUGAAAACUCAUAUGUUCUAAAUCGAGGAAUAAAGCCAGGUUCCAUUUGCUUUCUACUUGAGGCCCAUUAUUACCUAACAGAUAGAAUGUCAAGCCACUGGAAAAGUGUUAGGUAGGGGAAGGUGAAGGCCCUAAAUCCUUGUGUACGAUACAAUAGGGCAUGAAUCCUGAUGCUCAAUCACUAACUACUUAUGGAGCAAAGCAACUGAUGUCUGACCUGAGUUUUCAAGGUUAAGUCAGAGAAAGAGCUGUUUCUAAGGCACUGGGAAUGCAUGCAAAGCCAUUAAAAGAAAUGGUCUGUGCCGAGUUCCAGAAACGGCUGUAUGAGGUAAAACCAAAAAGAGGAAAGGCCAUGCGAAGACACUACAAGACAGCAGCCACCUGCAAGCCGAAGAAAGAGGCCACAGAAGAAACCAACCCUGAGGGCACCUGACCAUGACCUUAAGGCUUCCAGCCUCUGUAAUACUGAGAAAAUAAAUUUCUGUU